CUACAGUGGCAGCGCAGGGUAGCUACGUUUCUAUUUGAUAAGCGCUGAAAGCAUCUAAGCACGAAGCAGACCCCAAGAUGAGGUAUCUUUAAGAUCCCUGGAAGACUACCAGGUUGAUUACGCUAACGCGUAGUCGUUCCGACUAACCUCGGAAGAUAGGAGAGCAGUGUAAGCACUGUAAGGUGUUUAGCUUACUCUUACUAAUGAUCAUAGUUGAGAUUUU
This 223-nucleotide ribosomal RNA is filed under the name bacterium. RNAcentral describes it as "partial 23S ribosomal RNA". It matches the Rfam family "Bacterial large subunit ribosomal RNA", at positions 2727 to 2925 of the family's 2925-position model. The record is from RNAcentral.